RNAcentral lists this ribosomal RNA (274 nucleotides) under uncultured bacterium. RNAcentral's name for it is "partial 16S ribosomal RNA". It matches the Rfam family "Bacterial small subunit ribosomal RNA", at positions 523 to 796 of the family's 1533-position model. The record is from RNAcentral.
AUACGGAGGGUGCAAGCGUUAAGCGGAAUUACUGGGCGUAAAGCGUGCGUAGGUGGUUUGUUAAGUCAGAUGUGAAAGCCCCGGGCUCAACCUGGGAACUGCAUUUGAAACUGGCAUACUAGAGUAUAGGAGAGGAAAGUGGAAUUUCAGGUGUAGCGGUGAAAUGCGUAGAUAUCUGAAGGAACAUCAAUGGCGAAGGCAGCUUUCUGGACUAAUACUGACACUGAGGUACUAAAGCGUGGGUAGCAAACAGGAUUAGAAACCCCAGUAGUCC